GGAGCCCCUGCCUCACCGCCGCCGCGCCCGCGCAUUUCCUGGUAUUCCGGACCCCGCGUUCUGGUGGGCUGUCACCGACCCGAAAACUCCUGCAGAGCCACCUGUGGGCUCGGUGGCAGCCGCCUAGCCGGGCUCUGCCUCCUUCCCGGCGCCUCCAACAAUAAUCCACACUUCCGCUGCUGCCUGGGCGCCUACUGUGUGCAGGCCACAGCUAGAGGCGGCCAGGUUGGGGGGGUCGGUGGGGUGAGGGGACCGGUGAGCUUCGGAAGCCUUGGAGGCUUGGGUCUACGUGCUAGAUCCAAGCUCGCUGCAGAAUCUCUGGACAGAACUGUGUGAUUAGAGAGCUCCAAUGGAGGGGUCACGGUGGAGAAGCCUCCAGGGCGUCGGGGAUGAAAGAAAACCCAGGGUGGCUGGAGACCCCAGGGGACCAGGACACAGAGUCCUGAGCUACUAGAAGGGACCGUCAUCUUGCUAGAGAGCCCACAUUCAGCCACUCCAGUUCACAGACCUGCUGAGCCCUGCCCUUAAGUCAAGCCCACCCGGAAGUUGGAUAUGUUCCUGAUGCCAUGCUGGACCCUCCAGUGCAUCACCUGGCUCCUACCAGGACCCUGGGUGAGACAAGCUGACCCUGAGUUACUGAGUUACGUCACCCACAGAGGGCACAUGUCCACAGACAGCUGGAGGAGAGAUGGAGACAGGCACCUUCCCCAGAUAUGUUAUGCACACGGCAUGAGUUGAUCUAAGAAGGCAUCAGAGCUAUGUUCUCAUACAUGAAGGAAUUCUAACUCACAUAGCCUUCCUGAAAAAUCUAGUCUGAGAUCUGGCUCACUUUGACAGAACAAAACAAAGCAAAACAAAAACAAAACAGAAAUAAUGAAUCCCAGUGUGAAAGAAUACAAGAACACCAGAAAACUAGUCAGGAGUUCUCUCUAGAGAAACCAAGAACUCAGUUGCAAGGAUAGCUUUGGUAACACAGUACCAAGACAGCAAAUGUAACUGUUAAAGGUGUCAAGGGGAAAAGCUACAUGAAAAUAUUUUUUUUUUACUUUCAAGGAAGAUACAUUAGUGAGGGUAACCCUAGCUCCUGUAGCACAGAGAAUAUUACAAAUAACCCCCACAUGAUGCACAUAGAGUUCUUGCUCCAGUAACAAUUCUGGGUGGGAGGCCGUGUCCUCUCUACCUUCUGGGACCUCAGGCUGAGCCUGCAGCCUAUUGCUCAAGGUCACCUUGCCUGUGAUCUUUAUUCCAUGCAGUCAAGGGGGAGAGAGUAUGAGGGCUUGGGGAGACCCAGACUUGGAAGCAUUAGGUUUCACUCCAGCCCACCACAGCUUGGGCACCUGGUCAUGCAGAGUUGCAAGGGAGCCUGGGAAAUGUAGUUCAGCACUCCCAGCAAUCCCUGGGAGUGGAGGCACCUUUCCUGAGGAAGACUCUUGUUCCCUUCCCAAGAGACUUGGCAUCACAUUCCUUGCAUCAAAAAGUCAGGUGGCCUUGGCUAAUCUUGAUAGUCUAAUCAAGAUAGCUAAUCUGUUCCUAUCCCCAAUGCCAAUUUUCUCUCCAGAUCUGCUGCCCUAGUCUGGGGCCUGGUGGAGAGAAGAGUAUUUGUGUGUUGGAGAAAUAGCAGAAUGUAAGUGGGUAGUUCAGACCAUUGUCCUGGGGUGCAGCAGAAGCCCUCAUGGGCAGCAGGACUCCUGAUGCCUGGGUUAAGGGAGGGCAUUUGAUGCCUAAGGGUGAGGAUUUCCAGGUGUCUGCAGUCAUGCCUGCCUACCACACACAUCCAUACAAAAGAUCACAAUAGCUUUAUUUAUUGAGCACCUAUUAUGUGCUGGUCACCCUGAGAGGGGAUCACAUGUAUUAUUUCACCUUGUCUUCCCUGUGAGGUGGACACCAUGAUUAGCCCCAUCACUGGGGGAAAACCAAGGCUCAAAGUGGGCAAAGCUGAUGAGAAGUGCAACUGGGGUUGGGUGUGAAUGUGCUAGAUGUCACAGCCAGUGUUCUUGUUUUCUGUCAGCAUCAGAAGAAAGCAGGUUAGGUUGGACAGGAGCCUGGUGGCAGGAAGAGGCGUGGGCAGGCAGGAGUCCUGGGUUUGCAUCGUGGCUCUGCUCUGGCUCCAUGUGGCUGAGGGUGGGUCCCCUGUUUGUUCAGCUCACAGUCUCCUAGACUGGCUCUGUUCCAGACACUGACAAUAGAGGGGAAACCCACUCUAGUUGCUCAUGGUGCAGCAGGGAACCAGCUCCCCAAUUUGACACAGUAUGACUGUAGCUGAAAGCUCUGUCCCUGUCCCCAAUGCCAAUCAAUGCCGAUUUAAUAAUGACUACACAGUUUUGAGAAAAAGGAAAAAAAGGUUUAUGGCUUUGCUAGCAAAGGAAAAACAUAAGGGACUCCUGUCCCAAAUCAGGGGGGACAGAGGAGUUUUAAAGGAACCUUAAGGGUUACAUUCCAGGUAUGCUGUGGUAGGGGGUCCCAGGUCUCCCUAAUGGCAUGAUAGGAUUCAUUUGUUAGAGAGUGAGAAAGAGAGAGAAUUUUUUUAAUAUUUAUAUUUUAGUUUUCAGCAGACACAACAUCUUUGUAUGUGGUGCUGAGGAUCAAACCCAGGCCACACGCAUGCCAGGCGAGCAUGCUACCACUUGAGCCACAUCCCUGGCCCUGGAUUCAUUUGUGAAUUUGGGAGAUAGUCACUUCCCAGAUCUCCAGCAGGCAUCUGCUUCCUGUAGUGGGUGUGUGGGAGGGCAGUUAACUAGGGGAGGAAAAGGUAACCUUGUCUCCCUAAUCUUGUUAGGGGAGAGGGGAGAAAAGAGAAAAAAGUAUUUUUUUUAAAAAAUAAGCCUCAGAGCAAUGAGGGGUACAUUCAGAAAGUGAAAGGAUCACUGUUAGGAGACAAUGGUUGUAAAUAUUUCCUCCUCCUUGUCUCUAGUGUUUUUUCUCUAUGAAACUGAGCAGGGUUAGGAGGUCAGAGGUUGCAAACUCAAAUGUUGACAGACAGGCAUGAAAUGCAGAUGAUCGGGAACCUCAGCUCCCCCACUCACAGCUCUGUGGCUUUCAGCAAAUCCUUCUAAAUCUUGGUUUACUCAUCUGGGGAGUGGGGAUAGCACAUACUCAUGCUAGCUCAUGGGAUAAGUAAGCCAUGGAUGUCCUCAAUUCAUGAAUAACCUGUGGACAUCCCUGGUUCAUAAGAUAACACAUAGAAAACUCUCUAGCAAGACCCUAGCUCCAAAUUAAAAAAAAAAAAAAGUGCUAGGGGAUGUGGCUCAGUGGUUAAGUGCCCCUGGGUUCAAUUCCAAAACAAAACAAAAAAAACUGUACACCAGAUAGUCCUUGGACAUGUAGACUCCAUACACUUAAGGUCCCUGCUGAUUCUCAUAGGAUGUCUCAAUGAAAAGAGAACAACAGAGAGAUUGUCCUUCAACUCACAUUUCAACUCAUAACAGAUAGGAUUAGCAUCACUGGCACACAAGAGAAACCCUCCAAAGGAUAGUAGUAAAAAUAAGAUAGAAGUGUAUUUCUCUGACAUAUUAAAGAAGCCCAGAGACAGCAACACAGGGCUGGUAGGGCAACCCCAUGAAGAUGGCACCUUCCAUCUCUCUGCUGUCAUCCCUGUGUGCAGCCACUCUCCUCAUUGUCUAGAUGGCUGCCCGAGCAGUGGCCAUCUCAUUUGCUGUUCAGAGAGCAGAGUGGAAGAAGAAGAGAAGCCGCUAUGCCUCUUUGAAAGCUCCAGGUCCCUAGAUUUCUUUACAACUUCUACUUGUGAAAUCACAUGGCCCAAAUAAUUGCAAAGAGACUGGGAAAUGUCUUUCGACCGGAAAGCAAGGUACCCAGAUAAAAAGGGAGGCUCUGUUACUAAAGAAGAGAAUAGUAGAUAGAUACUGGAAGGCCACCAGCCAUUUCUGCCACAUUAAGUAACCCAGAGGGUGAGGAGGGAUGUGUGGAUAAGUGGAAGGCUGGUUAAUAGGAAACCAGGUGCUACUCUCCAUGUUACCUGUUCAUGCUUAAGUCUUUGAGCCUCCUUGUGACCCAGAGAAGAGUAAGAGAGCAAAACAGAAAAGGC
Long non-coding RNA from Marmota monax (woodchuck), 4042 nucleotides. RefSeq lists it as uncharacterized. NCBI's taxonomy places the organism in Eukaryota, Metazoa, Chordata, Mammalia, Rodentia, Sciuridae. The transcript has 3 exons. The record is from RefSeq and is a predicted model, not a curated record.